GCCCACGGUGGCGAAGUACGCGUCGUCGACGUUCGCGACGUCGACCAGCGUGGGAUCGUCCCCGGCCUGGUGGUG
RNAcentral lists this transfer RNA (75 nucleotides) under compost metagenome. Its description in RNAcentral is "tRNA-Ala". The record is from RNAcentral.